AGAGUUUGAUCCUGGCUCAGGAUGAACGCUAGCGACAGGCUUAACACAUGCAAGUCGAGGGGCAGCGUGGUGUAGCAAUACACUGACGGCGACCGGCGCACGGGUGAGUAACGCGUAUGCAACCUACCUUCAACUGUGGGAUAACCCGGCGAAAGUCGGACUAAUACCGCAUAAAACAGGGGUACCGCAUGGUAAUAUUUGUUAAAGAUUUAUCGGUUGUAGAUGGGCAUGCGUAACAUUAGGUAGUUGGUAGGGUAACGGCCUACCAAGCCUGCGAUGUUUCGGGGUUCUGAGAGGAAGGUCCCCCACACUGGAACUGAGACACGGUCCAGACUCCUACGGGAGGCAGCAGUGAGGAAUAUUGGUCAAUGGUCGAGAGACUGAACCAGCCAAGUCGCGUGAAGGAAGACUGCCCUAUGGGUUGUAAACUUCUUUUAUAGGGGAAUAAAAAGGGGAACGUGUUCCCUGUUGCAUGUACCCUAUGAAUAAGCAUCGGCUAACUCCGUGCCAGCAGCCGCGGUAAUACGGAGGAUGCGAGCGUUAUCCGGAUUUAUUGGGUUUAAAGGGUGCGUAGGUGGAUGAUUAAGUCAGUGGUGAAAUUUUGGUCGCUUAACGAUAAAACUGCCAUUGAAGCUGGUUAUCUUGAGUAUAGAUGAAGUAGGCGGAAUGUGUGGUGUAGCGGUGAAAUGCUUAGAGAUCACGCAGAACUCCGAUUGCGAAGGCAGCUUACUAGGUUAUAACUGACACUGAAGCACGAAAGCGUGGGUAUCAAACAGGAUUAGAUACCCUGGUAGUCCACGCAGUAAACGAUGAUUACUAGGAAUUUGCAAUAUACAGUAAGUUCUACAGCGAAAGCGUUAAGUAAUCCACCUGGGGAGUACGCCGGCAACGGUGAAACUCAAAUGAAUUGACGG
RNAcentral lists this ribosomal RNA (914 nucleotides) under uncultured bacterium. RNAcentral's name for it is "bacterial SSU rRNA". It matches the Rfam family "Bacterial small subunit ribosomal RNA", at positions 8 to 916 of the family's 1533-position model. The record is from RNAcentral.